RNAcentral lists this ribosomal RNA (2930 nucleotides) under Proteus mirabilis. RNAcentral's name for it is "bacterial LSU rRNA". It matches the Rfam family "Bacterial large subunit ribosomal RNA". The record is from RNAcentral. Lineage: Bacteria; Pseudomonadati; Pseudomonadota; Gammaproteobacteria; Enterobacterales; Morganellaceae.
GGGUUGUGAGGUUAAGCGAAUAAGCGUACACGGUGGAUGCCUAGGCAAUCAGAGGCGAUGAAGGACGUGCUAAUCUGCGAAAAGCGUCGGUAAGGUGAUAUGAACCGUUAUACCCGACGAUAUCCGAAUGGGGAAACCCAGUAUCCAAUGGAUACUAUCAUUAACUGAAUCCAUAGGUUAAUGAGGCGAACCGGGAGAACUGAAACAUCUCAGUACCCCGAGGAAAAGAAAUCAACCGAGAUUCCCCUAGUAGCGGCGAGCGAACGGGGAGCAGCCCAGAGUCUUAAUCAAUAGCAGUGUCAGGAGAACGGUCUGGAAAGUCCGGCAGUAAAGGGUGAUAGCCCCGUAUCUGAAGAUGCUGUUGUUGUGAACUCGACGAGUAGGGCGGGACACGUGUUAUCCUGUCUGAAUAUGGGGGGACCAUCCUCCAAGGCUAAAUACUCCUGAUUGACCGAUAGUGAACCAGUACCGUGAGGGAAAGGCGAAAAGAACCCCGGCGAGGGGAGUGAAAAAGAACCUGAAACCGUGUACGUACAAGCAGUAGGAGCCUCUUUAUGGGGUGACUGCGUACCUUUUGUAUAAUGGGUCAGCGACUUAUAUUCUGUAGCAAGGUUAACCGUAUAGGGGAGCCGUAGGGAAACCGAGUCUUAACUGGGCGAAUGAGUUGCAGGGUAUAGACCCGAAACCCGGUGAUCUAUCCAUGGGCAGGUUGAAGGUUGGGUAACACUAACUGGAGGACCGAACCGACUAAUGUUGAAAAAUUAGCGGAUGACUUGUGGAUGGGGGUGAAAGGCCAAUCAAACCGGGAGAUAGCUGGUUCUCCCCGAAAGCUAUUUAGGUAGCGCCUCGUGAACUCAUCUUCGGGGGUAGAGCACUGUUUCGACUAGGGGGUCAUCCCGACUUACCAACUCGAUGCAAACUGCGAAUACCGAAGAAUGUUAUCACGGGAGACACACGGCGGGUGCUAACGUCCGUCGUGAAGAGGGAAACAACCCAGACCGCCAGCUAAGGUCCCAAAGUCAUGGUUAAGUGGGAAACGAAGUGGGAAGGCUCAGACAGCCAGGAUGUUGGCUUAGAAGCAGCCAUCAUUUAAAGAAAGCGUAAUAGCUCACUGGUCGAGUCGGCCCGCGCGGAAGAUGUAACGGGGCUAAACCAUGCACCGAAGCUGCGGCAGCGACACAAAGUGUUGUUGGGUAGGGGAGCGUUCUGUAAGCCUGCGAAGGUGUACUGUGAGGUAUGCUGGAGGUAUCAGAAGUGCGAAUGCUGACAUAAGUAACGAUAAUGCGGGUGAAAAACCCGCACGCCGGAAGACCAAGGGUUCCUGUCCAACGUUAAUCGGGGCAGGGUGAGUCGACCCCUAAGGCGAGGCUGAAAAGCGUAGUCGAUGGGAAACGGGUUAAUAUUCCCGUACUGGUGGUAACUGCGAUGGGGGAACGGAGAAGGCUAGGUUGUCCGGGCGACGGUCGUCCCGGUUCAAGCAGGUAGGCAGAGUGAUUAGGCAAAUCCGGUCACUUAAUGCUGAGAUGUGAUGACGAACCACCAAGGUGGUGAAGCAAUUGAUGCCCCGCUUCCAGGAAAAGCCUCUAAGCUUCAGGUUACCAACAAUCGUACCCCAAACCGACACAGGUGGUCAGGUAGAGAAUACUCAGGCGCUUGAGAGAACUCGGGUGAAGGAACUAGGCAAAAUGGUGCCGUAACUUCGGGAGAAGGCACGCUGGCGGUAGGUAAAGUCCCUUGCGGACGGCGCUGAAGCCAGUCGAAGAUACCAGCUGGCUGCAACUGUUUAUUAAAAACACAGCACUGUGCAAACACGAAAGUGGACGUAUACGGUGUGACGCCUGCCCGGUGCUGGAAGGUUAAUUGAUGGGGUUAGCGUAAGCGAAGCUCCUGAUCGAAGCCCCAGUAAACGGCGGCCGUAACUAUAACGGUCCUAAGGUAGCGAAAUUCCUUGUCGGGUAAGUUCCGACCUGCACGAAUGGCGUAAUGAUGGCCAGGCUGUCUCCACCCGAGACUCAGUGAAAUUGAACUCGCUGUGAAGAUGCAGUGUACCCGCGGCAAGACGGAAAGACCCCGUGAACCUUUACUAUAGCUUGACACUGAACAUUGAGCCUUGAUGUGUAGGAUAGGUGGGAGGCUUUGAAGUGUGGACGCCAGUCUGCAUGGAGCCAACCUUGAAAUACCACCCUUUAACGUUUGAUGUUCUAACCUAGGCCCAUAAACUGGGUCGGGGACCGUGUCUGGUGGGUAGUUUGACUGGGGCGGUCUCCUCCUAAAGAGUAACGGAGGAGCACGAAGGUUGGCUAAGCAUGGUCGGACAUCAUGCGGUUAGUGCAAAGGCAUAAGCCAGCUUGACUGCGAGAGUGACGGCUCGAGCAGGUACGAAAGUAGGUCUUAGUGAUCCGGUGGUUCUGAAUGGAAGGGCCAUCGCUCAACGGAUAAAAGGUACUCCGGGGAUAACAGGCUGAUACCGCCCAAGAGUUCAUAUCGACGGCGGUGUUUGGCACCUCGAUGUCGGCUCAUCACAUCCUGGGGCUGAAGUAGGUCCCAAGGGUAUGGCUGUUCGCCAUUUAAAGUGGUACGCGAGCUGGGUUUAGAACGUCGUGAGACAGUUCGGUCCCUAUCUGCCGUGGGCGUUGGAAGAUUGAGAGGGGUUGCUCCUAGUACGAGAGGACCGGAGUGAACGCACCACUGGUGUUCGGGUUGUCAUGCCAAUGGCAUUGCCCGGUAGCUAAGUGCGGAAGAGAUAACCGCUGAAAGCAUCUAAGCGGGAAACUUGCCUCGAGAUGAGUCUUCCCUGUCGCUUUAAGCGACCUAAAGGAACGUUUAAGACUAAGACGUUGAUAGGCUGGGUGUGUAAGCGUAGCGAUACGUUGAGCUAACCAGUACUAAUGAACCGUGAGGCUUAACCUGACAACACCGAAAGUGUUUUG